GCCACUGUAGCUCAGUUGGUAGAGCGCUGCAAGACAAUGUUCAGGCCGUCAUUGGUUCGAGUCCAAUCAGUGGCA
RNAcentral lists this transfer RNA (75 nucleotides) under Oscillospiraceae bacterium. RNAcentral's name for it is "tRNA-OTHER". It matches the Rfam family "tRNA". Rfam says of the family: Transfer RNA (tRNA) molecules are approximately 80 nucleotides in length. RNAcentral also lists the same sequence under 1 other name. Lineage: Bacteria; Bacillati; Bacillota; Clostridia; Eubacteriales; Oscillospiraceae. The record is from RNAcentral.